This 255-nucleotide ribosomal RNA is filed under the name uncultured bacterium. Its description in RNAcentral is "partial 16S ribosomal RNA". It matches the Rfam family "Bacterial small subunit ribosomal RNA", at positions 524 to 776 of the family's 1533-position model. The record is from RNAcentral.
UACGUAGGGGGCAAGCGUUGUCCGGAUUUACUGGGCGUAAAGAGCGUGUAGGCGGCCAUACAGGUCCGUUGUGAAAACUGGAGGCUCAACUUCCAGACGUCGACGGAAACCGUGUGGCUAGAGUCCGGAAGAGGAGAGUGGAAUUCCGUGGUGUAAGCGGUGAAAUGCGCAGAUAUCAGGAAGAACACCAAUGGCGAAGGCAGCUCUCUGGGACGGUACUGACGCUGAGACGCGAAAGCGUGGGGAGCGAACAGG